AAAUUUUUUUUUUGUUUGCAGAUACCAGUCAUGUGCAAGAAAAGAUCUUACAGCUUUUUUUCCCUCAUUGAGUUGUACCUAAGCAAAAAGUAAUCUUGUCCAAAUAAAUUAAAUUAAAAAAACCAUUCAGAGCAUCACCGUUUACCUAAAAGAACAUGUUGAAAUGUUCCAGCAAGUGCCAGACAGAGACAAGGUUUGUACCACCACUCCGGCUCCAUUGUGAUUUCUAAGUUAAAGAGUUACGUGCCAGGGUCUCACUACAUAGCCCAGAUUGGCCUUGAACUUGAAGCCCUCUGGCCUCCCCUCCAGUGUCCUUGGAAUUACAGGUGUGUGCCACUAGACCACCUUGAUUUACAUUUUAAGAACACCACUCUGUGGUGUGUAUGGAAUGGAUUGUAAGAAGGUGAUAAUGGACAGAGGAAGACCUUUUGGAAUCCUCACACAGGACUCUCAGUGAGGGUUAGUAGUACUGAUGAAGGUGAAAGAAGAAAGAAAUUCUGGAAUAUGUGAUUUAUGGAGGGUAUGUGGAGGCACUGCUCCCUGGGUCCUUGCUGUUUCUUCACGUCUCUUGGAGAGACUAUGUUUUCUGGGUAAUAACCCCCUGCAGCGGAAACAAUCUUGGAAGAUGGAGGCCGUGUCUGCCCGGGGCCAAGGACAGGCAUGUUGAAGGACCUUUGUAAGACUUGUGUUCUUCAGUUCAAGAUUCCUUGUCAGUGAAAGUGUCAUGACCCUCUCUUUGCACUGUCCUGUGGGAACUGGAGCUUGAGGAUGUUACAGCUGAUACUCAGGCUGGAGCUGCUGAGGAAUAAACAAUGUCGUCUUCAACUCCAAGGUCUUUCUUCUGUCUUCUGCAUUCACAAAAUCGAGAACGCCCACCUUGGGAACUUGCAGGUGGUAGCUAAGACUGUUCAGAGUUCUUGGCAAGAACCUUAGACUCCCUGAUGGAGGGGGUGGUGAGUACGAGAACCCCAGGAAGACAUGAGACAUUGCAAGAGGUGAUUCCUGGUGACCCACAGAGGCCUGAGACAUGGGCCUGUUGUAAGCCAAGGUGAUUCAUAUAGAGAGAGUCGUCCACAAGCAGGAAACAUCAGAUCAUCGUCCCAGAAGCUUUUUAAUAAGAUGAGAUCCCAGUUGUUGGU
Fukomys damarensis (Damara mole-rat) is the source of this 1139-nucleotide long non-coding RNA. RefSeq lists it as uncharacterized. The record is from RefSeq and is a predicted model, not a curated record. The transcript is spliced from 4 exons. NCBI's taxonomy places the organism in Eukaryota, Metazoa, Chordata, Mammalia, Rodentia, Bathyergidae.